Non-coding RNA from Heterocephalus glaber (naked mole-rat), 2496 nucleotides. The record is from RefSeq and is a predicted model, not a curated record. NCBI's taxonomy places the organism in Eukaryota, Metazoa, Chordata, Mammalia, Rodentia, Bathyergidae.
CAGGGCGGCGGGGGGCGGUGCCCGCACACGGUCGCUCACCCGGCCAUCUUUAACCGGGUCUCCUCCCCUUGCGCCGCCGGGACUGACACCUAGCCGAGGGCUCGUAUUUUAGGUCUCCGCCAGGACUGUCUCUCAUCCACCUCCUCCGCCCAAUCCAGGUGCCCCCCGUGAUCCCGCUGGACGAAAAGAAGGCCUUCUCCCUCUUCUAGAAGGCGCCAUGACAGUUCUAAUGCCACGAAAAGACAAAAGGAGCGAAAGACCUAGUCCCAGUCCAAGGAGAGAGCCCCUCACCUUCACUAUUUAGGGAUGAGACUCUGCACAGGACCCCAAUUCUUCAGGAAGGUUUUUUUUAAAAAAGCACUCAGCACUGAAAAUCAAUAGUUGACGCUUUGCACACACUAUAUGCGGAAACUUUACAAGAGGCUUUCACAGAUGUCUCAUUUGAUCUUCCUAAGAAUGGACUCGUUGACAUUAUCCAGUGAUUGAGGACAAAUGCCAAAAAAAAAAAUCUACCUUAAUCCGAGGCAUUACGUUGUUUAUCGAAAUGAACUUAAUGAGCUAAAUCUAGAAUCUGAAACAAAUUCAUCAAAGCCUUCCUUUGAGAAGGUGGAAAGAAUUUAGAUUGACUGUGAGGAAGUAGAGAGAAAGGAUGGUAGAUUCUGGGUGAACCAUCGAUGUGCGAAAAUUACUCGCGGAGCCUGAAGGUGGGAGUUGAUUCUGGGGUUAGGGAGGGAGAAGGGUAAAUCAGUCAUCCAAGCUUGGGAAUGUCAUGACCACCAAAUUUCACUGCCCUUACCUUAAAGGGAAUUUCUAACCCAAUUUCACAGGGAGAAAGAAGGAAAUGUGGAAGAAGUUCAUUUUUUCCACCUCAAAAUAUUUGUUCUAAAAGCGAAAUUUUCACCCCUCCUUGGAUUAUUUUACUUUUGAAAGAACUCAAGCACCUGUUUUAGAAAUUUGAUGAAAGUUUUGGACCUUACUUUGGAUUAAAAAAUUCAUUUACCUACCAAAUUUAGCAGUUUUGGAGCUGAGGUUAAAAAUCUUUGUUGUAAUCUCAAAGGGAAGGACAUUCCACCUCCUCUCCAGAUUAGCCUUUUCAUAGGCUUCAAAACAACUGGAACACCUGAGCCAUGUAUUGCAAGACAGGAACUUGGACCAUGAUAUCUAUGGUUGUCAUCUCCAGCUUCGGGAAGAUGUCUCACUCUUCAGCAGCAAGAGUUGAAGGUCCCAGCAUGGGUGAUAAUGUUCUUCCCUUUGCCUCACUCUGGCUUUGCAGUUUGAAAUUUAAUCUUUGUUUUUACAAAGUUUGUUACAUCGGAGAAAAAAGAGAUUUUCCAAGAAGAGAGGACAUUCUUAAGGAGACAUGAAGGCUAUGGGCACAAACCAAAUAGAAACUCGGGAUCCAGCACUGAUCAGACAAGGGCGCAUCUGCAAGAUCAAGAUUCCCCCGCCAGAUGGAAAGGCGAAGAAGAAGAAGUGCAUCUCUCAGGUUCACACCAGCAGGAUGACACUGGCCGGUGAUGUAACCCUGGACAACCUGAGCAGGGCAGAGGAUGAGCCCCUGGUGCUGACAUCAAGGGAUCUGUGCAAAAGCUGCUCUCACAGCCUUGAGAGAGCCAGAAGGAAAGUAAUGAAGACUUCAAAAAAUCUUUCAAAUGUUCUGUAUGAGAGGGCACCCCUGAGAGACUCUCUCCUGAACCACAGUUGCCUUCAGGAAGGUAGUUGGGACUUUUCCUAGCCCCUGGGAAGGAUGAGAUUGGGAACGUGCCUGAGGGAGACCAUGCUGCAGUUGAUUUUUAUUGACAAUGUGUGGUGUUUCUUUUCCAGAAUGGCACAUUGGAUGCCCACGGAUGGCCUUGUCUGUGCUCGCUGUGAUGCUUGCUCUGUUUCCCAAUAAAGUGUGCUCUCUCACAAAAAAUUAAAUAAAUUAAAAAAUGUUUAAAGCUCAGGUGAAACAUAUUUUGAUAUGCCAGAAAUAACUAAAGGGGUAAAAACAAUGUCACUGAAAGGCCUUUAUAAAUAACUGAAAAAAAAUGCUUGGGAAACUCGUUUCUGAGCAUGGUGGUAUAAACAGGAACUAGACUUAUCCUCCUCCUUAAACAUGUAGAAAGCUGGACCAAUUAUAUAAAGCAAUGGUUUCAGACUUUGGAAACCAGCCAGUGCAGGGUAGCAGUUCCUGAGAUAAGGGAAACAUGAAAUUAACCCUCUGAGUUCCCCAGCUAUGUCUGGAAAGAAUGUCCACACCACUGUGUAGGAGAGGGAAUUUUAACAGAGCCUGACAGUAUCACUAUUGAGAGAAUAAGAGUUUGGGACCUGGACGUGGUGCUGUGUGCUUGUGAUCCCAGCACUCUGGAGGCUGAGGCAAGAGGAUUGCCUUGGGUUCAAGGCCAGCCUGAACUAUACAGCAAGAUAUUGUCUCAAAAAAAAGUGUGUGGGGAGGGGUAGAGUUCAGGAAGGUCAAGGCAGCUACAUUUUCGGGGGGUUUUUUUGUUUUUGUUU